Molecule: small nuclear RNA, 98 nt
Organism: Telopea speciosissima
Lineage: Eukaryota; Viridiplantae; Streptophyta; Magnoliopsida; Proteales; Proteaceae
Source: RefSeq, a predicted model, not a curated record
GUCUCUUCGGAGACAUCCGAUAAAAUUGGAACGAUAUAGAGAAGAUUAGCAUGGCCCCUGCGCAAGGAUGACUUAUUAUUGGCACCCCCAAGGUGUUU